ACGCGCUGAACUUAAGCAUAUCACUAAGCGCAGGGAACCGAAAAUAACUAUGAGUGCCUCAGUAACGGCGAGUGAAGCGGCACGGGCCCAAGAUGAAAAGUCCCGUCCUUCGGGCGUGGACAUUGUAAUCUUUCGGGUGCCACUGACCAGCUCUCUGAAGCCCAAAUUCCCAGGAACGGGAUGCCAUGGAGGGUGAAAGCCCCGUACGGCUUCGGAGGAAAGCAGGUGGCCCUUUUCGAGUCGAGUUGUUUGGUACUGCAGCUCUAAGCGGGAGGUAGAACUCUUCCAGGCUACUUAACAGCGAUGAGAGACCGAUAGCGAACAAGUACUGUGAAGGAAAGAUGAAAAUAUUUAAGAACUUCAAAAACAAAGAAUUAAACAGACCUGAAACCGUGGAGUGGAAGCGAUAGGAACUUAUCAUUUGGCUCCGAGCUGUCUAAGCGGCGACGGCAUGUCCGGUGGAGGCAACCGCGAGGGGCCUUGCCGUGCUUGCGUAGCUGCGCGUCUGCUCCCUGCCAACAGGCAAGAUGGGUUUCCGUUCGCAUCAUGGCGCCAGGGGGGUCCCUCACGGGGCUCCUCGGGACUGCUGUUGCGACGGAGGCUGAGGGUGCUUUGCGAUCUUGCCAAAUUUUAAAUUCUUUUUCCUACCGACCCGUCUUGAAACACGGACCAAGGAGUCUAACAUAUACGCGAUUAUGUUGGUGGAGAAACCAGCGUGAGUAAUGAAAGUGAGCGGUGCCAAUACCCAUGCAGCAUCGGCGGAUUCUGAUCCUUUGGUGACGAGAUCCAGUAUGAGCGUAUCUGUUAGGACCCGAAAGAUGGUGAACUAUGCUUGAGUAGGGUGAAGCCAGGGGAAACCCUUGUGGAAGCCCGAAGCGAUACUGACGUGCAAAUCGUUCGUCAAACUUGAGUAUAGGUGGCGAAAGACUAAUCGAACCAUCUAGUAGCUGGUUCCCUCCGAAGUUUCUCUCAGGAUAGCAAGGACAGCGUAGCAGGCUUUCGUAUGAGGUAAAGCAAUGAUUAGAAGACUCGGGGAUUGAUGGCGCUCCAGCGUGUGACGGAUACUCGACCAUUGCAGCGACAGUGUGGCUGGAAUGAGUAGGAGGGCGUGGGCGUCUUGCCGAAGCCUUGGGCGUGAGCCUGGGUCGAAAGGCGUCUAGCGCAGAUCUUGGUGGUAGUAGCAAUUAUUCAAAUGAGAACUUUGAAGGCCGACGUGGAGAAGGUUUCCAUGAGAACAGCAAUUGGUCAUGGGUGACUCGGUCCUAAGAUAUUGGAUAAUACCCUGAAAUUGAGCUUCGGCUCGCUAUCGAAAGGGAAUGAGGUUAAUAUUCCUCAAGCUGGAAAUGGAUGUCACGGCAACGUUUGUGAGCUCGGCGACGCCAGCGCGUGCCUCUGAAAGAGUUAUCUUUUCUUUCUCAAACAGGGAAGCGACCCUGAAAUCGGAUUACCCGGAGCUGAGGGUUGCAAACCUGGAAUAGUGUCUUCAUUAUCU
RNAcentral lists this ribosomal RNA (1492 nucleotides) under Euplotes dammamensis. RNAcentral's name for it is "partial large subunit ribosomal RNA". It matches the Rfam family "Eukaryotic large subunit ribosomal RNA", at positions 23 to 1777 of the family's 3401-position model. The record is from RNAcentral. Lineage: Eukaryota; Ciliophora; Spirotrichea; Euplotida; Euplotidae.